This 337-nucleotide ribosomal RNA is filed under the name Salmonella enterica. RNAcentral's name for it is "partial 23S ribosomal RNA". It matches the Rfam family "Bacterial large subunit ribosomal RNA", at positions 2606 to 2925 of the family's 2925-position model. The record is from RNAcentral. Lineage: Bacteria; Pseudomonadati; Pseudomonadota; Gammaproteobacteria; Enterobacterales; Enterobacteriaceae.
UGGGUUUAGAACGUCGUGAGACAGUUCGGUCCCUAUCUGCCGUGGGCGCUGGAGAACUGAGGGGGGCUGCUCCUAGUACGAGAGGACCGGAGUGGACGCAUCACUGGUAUUCGGGUUGUCAUGCCAAUGGCACUGCCCGGUAGCUAAAUGCGGAAGAGAUAAGUGCUGAAAGCAUCUAAGCACGAAACUUGCCCCGAGAUGAGUUCUCCCUGAGACUUUAGGUCUCCUGAAGGAACGUUGAAGACGACGACGUUGAUAGGCCGGGUGUGUAAGCGCAGCGAUGCGUUGAGCUAACCGGUACUAAUGAACCGUGAGGCUUAACCUUACAACGCCGAAG